UGCUGAGUAGGUAGAGGUAGACUAGAAAAGAAGAUGCAGGGUUCAGUUCCAGACACAGUAAGUUCCAGGCGACCCCUGGAUCCAGGGAUGGCAUGAAUGGGUCGUAUGAAUGGGGCACAUGAGGUGGGCCUGGAGCAUGUAUACUGUCAUAUACCAACGGUAUAUGACUAAUGGCGGACUAUUUACGUGAUAGUGCUCCCAUAGAUUAGAAUUGAAGCUGAAAAGUUCCUUUUGUUGGUGACAUCUAUAGCUGCUGAAAGGUUGGUGCAAUUCAUUACAUUUGUGAGGAUGCUAGUGUCAACACACCCACUGUGCCAUGAGCCAUCCAGCCGCGGGGCACACGCAACACUCGGUGGUGAUGACAAUGGCUGUUACCGGCUUAGGUUUUACUGUACCACACUUAUUUAUUUUAGUAUUCUCUUAGCAUAUAACUCCUACUAUAAAAGGCAGCUAAUGUAAAACACUGUGUCGUCUUACACCAUCAGCCUUAUGGUGCCCUGUUUACAAAGUCUCUCAAUUACGUGGAGGCCAUGUGGCCUGACUGGCCCACGCCAUCUAGGGUUGUUUAAGUGUAUGCCAGGGUGUUUGCUUAAUGACACAAUAAACCCACUGAUGUCAUAUUAGGAAGUAUCCCUGUCUCUACGUGUUACAUGGCCGUAUGUUCAGCUGGCAGCUAUGAGCACAGGGAGAAAAGGCAACAGAGAGCUUUGGGGACACCUUCCUUCCAGAGGAAGGGAACGAAGCCAGAACUCUGACAUGCAUAUCUGUGCAACUGACGGCAGAAAAAGGAUGUGGAUCUAGCGAGACAAGGGAGAGGAGUUUCCGAGAGAUCACGUAACUGGAGUUUUUAGGUCACAAGCCACACCUCUGGCGGCCUCCGUAAAAUUAGCCCGUCACGCGCCCCCCAAUGUGACAAUUAAAGGAGUAACGGUGGAAAGCAGAGAAAGGAAAUGUAAUCAACACAACCACGCGGAAGAGGGGCAGAUCGAGGGGUCCAGCUCAUCUUCAGGGUGGUUCAUGAGCUGUCCGUCUAACAGAGCAAGAACUGGGGCAAAGCUGCUCUGCUCCGGCGUUUCACCGGGGACCCAGUCAGGAGAAGGUCAAACCAUGAAGGAUGGGAGGUAUUUUCAACCGUCAGCUCCUUGUUGACGCUCUUUGCUGGAACCCCCAAUCCAGAACAUUGGUUUUCCUGACUCAAGCAAGGGAUGAUGGACGCUGGUCAGCUGGGGCUGAAGAAUCUGCUGAGAUUAAGAAGAGGCCAGCAUCAUUGAGGCCAAGUCUUCUUGGAAGCUUUUCCUCAGGGUCAGCACCCAGAAGCUGUUUCCCAGAAGUGGCCAAGGUUGUACCUCCUGUUGACAGUCAAACCUGGUAGUGUAAGAGUCUCCCAGGUGGUACUGGUUUUGAAGACAUGAAGGAGUCAUGGAGAGCAGCUGAGGCUUGGCCCUGUGUGGCAGGGCUGGAGUCCAUGGAGAGAGCCCUGGAGAGGCUACUGGUGAAAGGGCAGCCCAGUUGCAGCAGAAGACCCAGCAUUUUGUAAAUGCCAGCGCCAUGGCAUGGCCACCAAGAACAUCAGCACAGUAGACUGAAGCUAUCGGGAGCCUAAAAGACAAGCUGUGUGUGCUACAGAGGGUAGAGCUGGAGAAGUGGCCACGUCCGUUGGAGGAGCUUAGUUUUGCUUUGUUCGGCCUGUGAUUGUGCCCUGGUUCUUCCCUCCUGAAGUGAGAAAGUAUUCAACUUAUUUUUUAUUUUACAAGAUCUCACAGUUGAGAGACUGAUUUUUUUUUUUUUUUUAGAGAUUUUAGGUUUCAAAAACAGAUUGAAUUUUAAAGUGUUUGAAUUUGUAAAGACUGUGAGACUUCAUAAGUUUGAAAAUGCUUUAUAUUGUGGUGUUGAUAUUAAUGUGCUGUCUUGGGGAUGAGCAAGAAAGGAAAGGUUGUGGCUUAGGGUGAUGUUUGUAUGUCAGGUUGACAAGGGGUCAAUUGUACUGUUAUUUUAUGUCAACUCGAUACAAGCUAAAGUCAUCCAAGAGGAAGGAAUCUCCAUUAAUAAAAUGCCUCCAUAAGAUCUGGCUGUACACAAGCCUUACAUUAAUUUCUUAAUUAAUGAUUGAUGGGGGAGGGCCCAGACUACUGUGGAUGGCAUGUGGUCCUGGGUUCUAUAAGAAAGCAGGCUAAGCAAGCCAUGGAGAGCCAGCCAGUAAGCAGCUCCCCUCUAUGGUCUCUGUAUCAGCUCCUGCCUCCUGGUUCCAGCCCUGUUUGAGCUCCUUCAUUGGUGAACAGUGAUGUGGAAGUGUAAGAAAAAUAAACCCUUUCCUCCUCCCCAAGUUGCUUUGGUCAUGGUGUUUCAUUACAGCGAUAGGAACCCUAAGACAGGUGUAUUAAAUACUGUCUUGACUUAUACUAUUUUCCUCUUAAGAUGGAAGGAGGGGAUCUUAUGUUACCCAGGCUCAUUUCAAACAUGCUAUGUAAUAGAAGCUGGCCUUGGACUCUUUCUUAACCCUCCUGCCCUGAUAAGUGCUAGAAUUAUACUUGUGUUACUAUGUCUGGCUUGACUUACAGUAUUUUCAGUACAUCAUGGUUUUAUCGGGAACUUACUCCACUGUAAGCGGAGGACCAUCCACAUACAUGCAAUAGACUCUUAUUUAGUCAUAAGGGGAAGUUCUGAUAUAUGCUACACCAUGAGUGAACCUUAAGUGAGGUAAGCUAGACACAAAAAGACAAAUAUUGCAUGACUUCACUUACAUGAAAUAUCUAGAGUAGGUCAAUCCAGAGGGACAUACAGUAAGUUACAGGUUACCAGGGACCAUGGCCCAUGAAGCUAAUCCCUGGAAACCCACAUGGGAGCAAGGGGGUACUAAGAAAGUCAGACCCAAGCAAAAUGAAGCUGGGAUCCCCUGAGC
Peromyscus californicus insignis is the source of this 2899-nucleotide long non-coding RNA. RefSeq lists it as uncharacterized. The record is from RefSeq and is a predicted model, not a curated record. Lineage: Eukaryota; Metazoa; Chordata; Mammalia; Rodentia; Cricetidae. The transcript has 3 exons.